GGGACGACUAAUACUCUCCUCCUCUCUCUCUCUCUCUCUCUCUGUCUCUCUCCCUCUCCCUCAACUCCCCCAUCUCCGAUCCGUGGGUAGCCUCCCUCAGCUCCUCUCCACGCAUUGAUUAGAAGCCUUCUUCUUUUGGGCCUGGGGGGUGGGGUGUUCUACACGGUUGCUGCUUCUGUCCUUACAAGAUUAUGAGGGAAGAUUGAUCUGGGGUUUUCUACAUGGACAUCAGGUGGUCUUUGCAAGAGAUUAUGGAUGAUGGUGGUUGCUGUUGCUUUGCUGGCACUUCUCUAUUUUAUGGUAGUCAAGGUUGUGGCAUAUUAUAUCUUUUCAAACAGCCAUGUGAGCGCAUUCGGUGAGCCAAAAAAAUGGCACUUGUGUGGUUGAGCGGUAGUAGGUUUGCGUCUCUGUUCAAAGUUCGAACUCCCAAAACAGGAACAUGUUGUGUGUGGUUGAGCGGUAGUAGGUUUGCAUCUCUGUUCAAAGUUCGAACUCCCAAAACAGGAAUAUGUUGUGUCUAAUGGUCAUCUAAUUACCUUUUGUGGGGUGAUCAGGCUCCUUAAAAGGGAUCACAUUGAAUUCAGAACUGGAGGCUACAUUUGCAUUUUUGUAGGUAUGGUUAGAGGUUUCAUAAUUUGUUAAAGAACUAUUUGGUUUUUAUUUUGGACCUUAUAUAUGAAUUGAAAAAUGCAUGUUGAGGAGUUGAAGUAGAUCGUUCGUCUGAUAACACACUUAAGCCUUUUAACCAUGGAGAUGAAUUGAUUGGUUAUCCCUUGCAGCAAA
Elaeis guineensis (African oil palm) is the source of this 783-nucleotide non-coding RNA. The record is from RefSeq and is a predicted model, not a curated record. Lineage: Eukaryota; Viridiplantae; Streptophyta; Magnoliopsida; Arecales; Arecaceae.